CGUAGGGGGCGAGCGUUGUCCGGAAUCAUUGGGCGUAAAGCGCGUGUAGGCGGCUUGAUAAGUCUGGUGUGAAAUCCUGGGGCUUAACCCCAGACCUGCACUGGAUACUGUCAAGCUUGAGUCCGGGAGGGGAGAGCGGAAUUCCUAGUGUAGCGGUGAAAUGCGCAGAUAUUAGGAAGAACACCGAUGGCGAAGGCGGCUCUCUGGAACGGUACUGACGCUGAGACGCGAAAGCGUGGGGAGCGAACAGGAUU
Molecule: ribosomal RNA, 254 nt
Filed under: uncultured bacterium
Lineage: Bacteria
Description: partial 16S ribosomal RNA
Rfam family: Bacterial small subunit ribosomal RNA
Source: RNAcentral